RNAcentral lists this transfer RNA (72 nucleotides) under Candidatus Uhrbacteria bacterium RIFCSPHIGHO2_01_FULL_47_11. RNAcentral's name for it is "tRNA-Arg". It matches the Rfam family "tRNA". From Rfam's summary of the family: Transfer RNA (tRNA) molecules are approximately 80 nucleotides in length. Their secondary structure includes four short double-helical elements and three loops (D, anti-codon, and T loops). Further hydrogen bonds mediate the characteristic L-shaped molecular structure. tRNAs have two regions of fundamental functional importance: the anti-codon, which is responsible for specific mRNA codon recognition, and the 3' end, to which the tRNAs corresponding amino acid is attached (by aminoacyl-tRNA synthetases). tRNAs cope with the degeneracy of the genetic code in two manners: having more than one tRNA (with a specific anti-codon) for a particular amino acid; and 'wobble' base-pairing, i.e. permitting non-standard base-pairing at the 3rd anti-codon position. RNAcentral also lists the same sequence under 5 other names. The record is from RNAcentral. Lineage: Bacteria; Candidatus Uhriibacteriota.
GCGCCCGUGGUGAAAUGGAUAUCAUAACAGGCUUCGAACCUGUUGGUGGGGGUUCGAUUCCCUCCGGGCGCA